Molecule: long non-coding RNA, 1636 nt
Filed under: Canis lupus familiaris (dog)
Lineage: Eukaryota; Metazoa; Chordata; Mammalia; Carnivora; Canidae
Description: lncRNA (ENSCAFG00845011135.1)
Source: RNAcentral
UGCCUCUGGAGUUUGCUCUGCAACUGGAAAGAUCUCAGUUUCAGUUCAUUCUGGUGGUGUCAACAUGCCAGAAGUCACAUAUCCAUGCACAUAGAGACAGCUGUGUGCUCUUGCUUUUCCUCAAUACAGGCUCAAGGAUUUGAGUGAUCUGAGCAGGUUUGGGAAGAAUUAUUCAGUGACAGACACAAAAGAAACAAGACAAAAAAGACAUGAGAGAGAUUUGUUUUGGAAGAGUCUAUUGUUCAUUCCUGGCUUUUGCUGACAUUCAGAGGGAUUAAGAUGGAAUGAAGGAAAAAUGACUGACCCAGAAGUCUGCUCACCUCAGAAGCAGCAGCAGGUUUCCUUCAAAGGAAAGCAAAAGCUUAAUCUGUAAAAGAGAUCUUUUCAAUGGACUGGCUUCGGCAGUUGGCCACGCAGGUCCCUUCCGAACCUCCAAGGUGCCACAGCCGCUCUGCAGUUGCUCAGGUGGAGACGAUCCGGCCACGUGGUUGGGGCCCUGAGGGGAGCACUUCCGGUCCGCGCUUGGGCAGCUUCCGGUGUGUGUCCGCCCGACUUCUCCGUGCUUCCCUGCGCGAGGCCGGUCCGAUUCCCCCUUCCCCUGUGCCCGCAGGGAAUGCAAGCCGCGGUCGUGACCCACCGGAACAAGGGCGCGGCCCGCCUGCGCUCGGCCCCGGCGCUCUCCCGCGCCCGGCCGGCCGCCAUGCGCCUACAGUAGCCCCGCGAGAGCCUUCCCUAGCGCGGCUCCGCCGGGUGUGCCGCGGGCCUGCGCGGUUCCCAGGCGUCAGGCUGUGACAAGCACAGCCAGGCAAGCGCACGGGGUCAGCAGCCGCUCAGUCCAUCUUGAAACACCGAGAGGCUGACGUGUGUGGGAGUCCGCGGCUCACCUGAAAGCUGCCCUGGUGCCUUGAAACAGCUGCUGCUUAGCCCCAUGCUAAGGGACGCCUGGUGGCUCAGCGGUUGAGCGCCUGCCUUUGGCUCAGGGUGUGAUCCUGGAGUCCUGGGUUCAAGUCCUACAUCAGGCUCCUUGUAUGGACCCUGCUUGUGUUUCUGCCUCUCUCUCUCUCUGUCUCUCAUGGAUAAACAAAAAUCUUAAAAAGAACCUCCAAGUGACCUUCCGUUCAUCCGAACCAUGUUUGACUAUGGGGUCUUAGAGGAUGUGAGGGUGUAUAGCAGGAGAGAUUUGAUUUCUAAGUUCACUCUCCUAGCAUGGAGCUAAAGAGCAAGUUCCUUUUCACGGUCUUGUUACUUUUCUUACUACUUUUUUUUUUUUUAAGAUUUUGUUUAUUUAAUCAUGAGACACACAGAGACAGAGAGGCAGAGACACAGGCAAAGGGGGAAGGAAGCAGGCCCCAUUCGGGGAGCCCCAUGUGGAACUCCAUCUCAGGACCCUGGGAUCACGCCCUCAGCCCAAGGCAGACACUCAACCACUGAGCCACCCAGGUGCCCCCUCACCACUUCUAAUAAUUCAUGCUGUUUGGUUUUAAUGUCUCUGAGUCUCAGUUUCUUUAUGUGGGAAAUCAAGGAAAUUUGACUUAGGUGAUUCAUGGUACCCCUUCUAACUCCAAAAAUCUUGUCACCUUGUUAAUAAAUCAAUUCUUCCUUACAAACAUCUUUUGAAUCACCUCCUUGAAAGCCA